AUUGAACGCUGGCGGCAUGCUUUACACAUGCAAGUCGAACGGCAGCACGGGCUUCGGCCUGGUGGCGAGUGGCGAACGGGUGAGUAAUGCAUCGGAACGUGCCCAUUUGUGGGGGAUAACUACGCGAAAGCGUGGCUAAUACCGCAUACGCCCUGAGGGGGAAAGCGGGGGGAUUCUUCGGAACCUCGCGCAAUUGGAGCGGCCGAUGUCAGAUUAGCUUGUGGUGAGGUAAAGGCUCACCAAGGCGACGACUCCUGUAGCGGGUCUGAGAGGAUGAUCCGCCACACUGGGACUGAGACACGGCCCAGACUCCUACGGGAGGCAGCAGUGGGGAAUUUUGGACAAUGGGGGCAACCCUGAUCCAGCCAUGCCGCGUGAGUGAAGAAGG
This 388-nucleotide ribosomal RNA is filed under the name uncultured bacterium. Its description in RNAcentral is "bacterial SSU rRNA". It matches the Rfam family "Bacterial small subunit ribosomal RNA", at positions 29 to 414 of the family's 1533-position model. The record is from RNAcentral.